Ictidomys tridecemlineatus (thirteen-lined ground squirrel) is the source of this 69-nucleotide non-coding RNA. NCBI's taxonomy places the organism in Eukaryota, Metazoa, Chordata, Mammalia, Rodentia, Sciuridae. The record is from Rfam.
GGGGUUGUGGCUCAGAGGUAGAGCGCUCGUCUACCACACGUGAGGCACUGGGUUCGAUCCUCAGCACCA